CAAUGCAAAGCACCUCAUGAAUGCUAAUCUAAAUAUUAAUGAGCCUUGCAUUCACUUGUGCGUUGUUACACUGCAUAAUGGCGACAGGUGAGAAAAGAGCAAAAAAAAACGUAAUUUCUCAGACACUGACAUACACAUACUUGUAGGGGAGGUGGAGGCCCGGAAAACAACAUUAUUUGGUGGCCACAGCAGUGGGAUCACUAAUAAAAAGAAGCAGUGCGAGUGGCAACGUGUUGCUGCUUCUGUCAACUGCAUCAGUGGGACAGAACAGACAGUUGCAGAACUAAAGGAAAAGUGGUCCGAUCUGAAGUUAUAUAAUGGUAGAGUACUUGAUGCUAUCCUGUACUCCAUCCUGCCCUGCCAUCUCCACCUGCACUCCCUCGCACUGUUGUACAAAUAUGUCUUAGUGAAAAGAAAAAGAAGAAGAAGAAGAAGAAGAAGAAGAAGAAGAAGAAGAAGAAGAAGAAGAAGAAGAAAGUCUGGUCAGCAUUCUAUUAAGAGAGUUAACUUAAAGUCUAAGGGACAGUCUCAAGCCUCCCUGUUUUCAUUCAAAAUAUCUUAAAUUGUGUUCCGAAGACGAACGAAGCUUUUACAGGUCUGGAUCGACAUGGGGGAGAAAAAAAUGUAAGAAGGUUGAAUCCAUGCUUGACAAACUCCUGUCUCAACAUCUCCACAGGCCUCUUCCUUUGUUUUGUUGUUCUGGACCACCAUGCCAACAUUUGAAAUUCAUCUGCACCUUCUACCUCUCCUUCCACCCUGUUGUCCACUUCCUCUAUAUCCAUGUCUUCUUACAGUGUCUCCUCAUGCUCUUUCCACUACACCAAUACCCUCUUCUCUAAUCAUCUCUUCUCCAUUUCCUUCUCCUCUCCUCUUCUCUUUUCUCACAUCUUCCUCUCUGCUCAUCUCUUUCUAGCUGUUUCACUCUUCAUCUUCUCUUUCAUUAUGCCCCUUUCUCUACCCACUCUACCACCUUGUAGACUUACACCUUUCUUUAACC
This is a long non-coding RNA of Cyprinus carpio carpio, 997 nucleotides long. The record is from Ensembl. NCBI's taxonomy places the organism in Eukaryota, Metazoa, Chordata, Actinopteri, Cypriniformes, Cyprinidae.